This 495-nucleotide ribosomal RNA is filed under the name uncultured Alphaproteobacteria bacterium. Its description in RNAcentral is "bacterial SSU rRNA". It matches the Rfam family "Bacterial small subunit ribosomal RNA", at positions 9 to 521 of the family's 1533-position model. The record is from RNAcentral. Lineage: Bacteria; Pseudomonadati; Pseudomonadota; Alphaproteobacteria.
GAGUUUGAUCGUGGCUCAGAGCGAACGCUGGCGGCAUGCCUAACACAUGCAAGUCGAACGAUGGCUUCGGCCAUAGUGGCGCACGGGUGAGUAACGCGUGGGAACCUGCCUUUUGGUUUGGGAUAACUCCGGGAAACUGGAGCUAAUACCGGAUGAGCCCGAGCAAUCGGGGAAAGAUUUAUCGCCAAAAAGAGGGGCCCGCGUCCGAUUAGGUAGUUGGUGGGGUAACGGCCUACCAAGCCUUCGAUCGGUAGCUGGUCUGAGAGGAUGAUCAGCCACACUGGGACUGAGACACGGCCCAGACUCCUACGGGAGGCAGCAGUGGGGAAUUGUUCGCAAUGGGCGCAAGCCUGACGACGCAACGCCGCGUGGAGGAUGAAGGUCUUCGGAUUGUAAACUCCUGUUGCCCGGGACGAAUGGCUUCGACCUAACACGUCGAGGUUUGACGGUACCGGGUGAGGAAGCCCCGGCUAACUCUGUGCCAGCAGCCGCCGU